This 1151-nucleotide unclassified non-coding RNA is filed under the name Hevea brasiliensis (rubber tree). Lineage: Eukaryota; Viridiplantae; Streptophyta; Magnoliopsida; Malpighiales; Euphorbiaceae. The record is from RNAcentral.
GAUAUGAGGAACUCCAAUGUGUUAGCUUUUGUUGCUCUAUUCCUACAGUGUCUGGAAGAGGAUUCAUCGAGGUGCUGUUGCCUACUACCUCUUAUCACAUGUCCUGUUCUUUUGUUGUCCAUUUUUAUUUAGCAUGGGCAAUAUGCUAGUUUCAGAUAUAUAAAUUUUAAUAUUUUAUUGGUAUGACUGACCCACCCUUUUGGGGUAAUAUAUUGAAUGUAUGGAUGUCAACUAUCUUUGAAUGUGCAUUGAGGUGGGAUUGUGUGGAUGGCAAUUUUAUUGGCAAGCAUAAGUAGUGCAAAAGUCGUUUACAUGUAAUAUUGUGAGUUUGAUGAGCCUGGGUUAGCUUGAGAGUGAGACUAACUUCAUUUUCUUCUAGACUAAUAUGUUGCCUUGUCAUUAGAUCUAGCUGCAGUUGAACCAGCUGUUGGGUACUCACUUUUGGUGACGGUGUCCGCCUGGUCUAUUGAACAAUUUGAAUUGGCUUUUACAUGACAUUAGUGAAGUGUCUUAUUCUCAUAGUUGCAUAAUAUAGUCUCAGGGAUUUGCCCCAUUUAUAUCCAAAAAAAAAAAAAAAAUUUGUUGCUUUGUCAUGUGACAUCAUAGCAGAGCCAGCACCAUAGCCAUAUGCAGUGACUGCCAUUUACUGUCUUCCAAACCAAAUUUCCUUGUUUAUUUGGAUGGCCUGAACUAUGUUGCACAAUACUUGAGACGGAUAAUUUUUUCAAAUCUCUGUUAUUCUGCAAUUUAUUGGUUAAAGCUAUUUAUUCCUUGUUCAUUGCACUUAUCAAGAGGAUGAUGGGAGCCAAACUCGGGCAAUAGUGGUUCUACUGUAGAACUAGGAUAAGAAAAGGUGCAGAAAGCAACUGCUUCUGUCCUUCAUGUUUGCUGUCUGUUUCUCUUUGUAUAUAUACUAAAUAAAUGUGGGAAUUAGAAUUUAACUUGCUCUAAUGCUGUCCUGUUUAUUCCUGCCAUUGUGUAGUUUAUUAAAUAUACUCAGAGAAUCACCUCUUCAAAUUUUUGUUCUAACACGCUCUAGUGCUGACUAUUUUGGGUUUUCUUCAAAGUAACUCCAUCCUAAACUUGAUUCUGUUAUUCUUCACAUGCGGUAUGCAAAUGUUCACUGAUCUGGUCCUUCUGGAUGUGUGUUU